GACGAACGCUGGCGGCGUGCUUAACACAUGCAAGUCGAACGGAAAGGCCCUGCUUUUGUGGGGUGCUCGAGUGGCGAACGGGUGAGUAACACGUGAGUAACCUGCCCUUGACUUUGGGAUAACUUCAGGAAACUGGGGCUAAUACCGGAUAGGAGCUCCUGCUGCAUGGUGGGGGUUGGAAAGUUUCGGCGGUUGGGGAUGGACUCGCGGCUUAUCAGCUUGUUGGUGGGGUAGUGGCUUACCAAGGCUUUGACGGGUAGCCGGCCUGAGAGGGUGACCGGCAAAAUGGGAACUGGGUUACGGCCCGAACUCUAACGGGGGGAGGAGGUGGGGAUUAUUGAACAAGGGGCGAAGGCCUGAUGAGGAACGGCGGGGGGCGGAUUGCGGGCUUUCGGGUUGUAACCGCCUUUCGCCGGUAACGAGGCGGAGGUAACGGUAUUGGUAAAGGAGGCACGGGCAAAUUAGGU
RNAcentral lists this ribosomal RNA (467 nucleotides) under uncultured bacterium. RNAcentral's name for it is "partial 16S ribosomal RNA". It matches the Rfam family "Bacterial small subunit ribosomal RNA", at positions 28 to 506 of the family's 1533-position model. The record is from RNAcentral.